RNAcentral lists this ribosomal RNA (478 nucleotides) under uncultured bacterium. Its description in RNAcentral is "partial 16S ribosomal RNA". It matches the Rfam family "Bacterial small subunit ribosomal RNA", at positions 28 to 523 of the family's 1533-position model. The record is from RNAcentral.
GACGAACGCUGGCGGCGUGCUUAACACAUGCAAGUCGAACGGUAAGGCCCUUCGGGGUACACGAGUGGCGAACGGGUGAGUAACACGUGGGUGAUCUGCCCUGCACUUCGGGAUAAGCCUGGGAAACUGGGUCUAAUACCGGAUAGGACCACUGCCUGCAUGGGUGGUGGUGGAAAGCUUUUGCGGUGUGGGAUGGGCCCGCGGCCUAUUAGCUUGUUGGUGGGGUGAUGGCCUACCAAGGCGACGACGGGUAGCCGGCCUGGGAGGGUGACCGGCCACACUGGGAAUGAGAUACGGCCCAGACUCCUACGGGAGGCAGCAGUGGGGAAUAUUGCACAAUGGGCGCAAGCCUGAUGCAGCGACGCCGCGUGAGGGAUGACGGCCUUCGGGUUGUAAACCUCUUUCAGCACCGACGAAGCGCAAGUGACGGUAGGUGCAGAAGAAGGACCGGCCAACUACGUGCCAGCAGCCGCGGUAA